RNAcentral lists this ribosomal RNA (397 nucleotides) under uncultured bacterium. RNAcentral describes it as "partial 16S ribosomal RNA". It matches the Rfam family "Bacterial small subunit ribosomal RNA", at positions 523 to 918 of the family's 1533-position model. The record is from RNAcentral.
AUACGUAGGGGGCGAGCGUUGUCCGGAAUGAUUGGGCGUAAAGGGCGCGUAGGCGGCCUGGUAAGUCUGGAGUGAAAGUCCUGUUUUUAAGAUGGGAAUUGCUUUGGAUACUGUCGGGCUUGAGUGCAGGAGAGGUAAGAGGGAUUCCCAGUGUAGCGGUGAAAUGCGUAGAGAUUGGGAGGAACACCAGUGGCGAAGGCGACUUACUGGACUGUAACUGACGCUGAGGCGCGAAAGUGUGGGGAGCAAACAGGAUUAGAUACCCUGGUAGUCCACACUGUAAACGAUGAAUGCUAGGUGUAGGGGGUAUCGACCCCUUCUGUGCCGCAGUCAACACAAUAAGCAUUCCGCCUGGGGAGUACGGCCGCAAGGUUGAAACUCAAAGGAAUUGACGGGG